RNA transcript from Amphibalanus amphitrite, 5884 nucleotides. It is a transcript of the gene named extended synaptotagmin-2-like, with no coding region annotated. Lineage: Eukaryota; Metazoa; Arthropoda; Thecostraca; Balanomorpha; Balanidae. The record is from RefSeq and is a predicted model, not a curated record. The transcript has 46 exons.
GGGGGCUGGUGGGGGCGUUGCCGCGCGCGCGCCGUGAUUUCGAGGCCUCCUCAUUGUUAAACACCUAAGGUCGCGCCAUGAGUGACGCGGACGGAGGCGCGGCCGGCGGCUCCGGCAGCCUGGGCAUGCUGUUCCUGCGCCGCACGGCCGCCAUCCUGGGUAUCUACGCGGUCGGCUACCUGGAGCUGUCGCCCGCCUGGCUGGUCGGCGGCAUCAUCCUCUCCGUGAUGAGGGAGAAGUGGAGCCGCCAGAAGAAGACCAAGCGCGAACUGGCGCGCGCCAUCGCGCUCAACAGCGAGCAGGUCACUCUGGCCAAACUGCAGGACCUGCCCUCCUGGGUUCACUUCCCUGAUGUAGAAAGAGCAGAGUGGCUGAACAAGAUGCUGAAACAAAUGUGGCCAUAUGUGGGCGACUACGUCAAGAACUUGUUGAAGACGCAGUUCGAAGCCAGCUUGGCGGCCACCAUGUCCGGCUACAAACUCUACAACUUCAAGUUCGAGAAGAUAUACCUCGGUGAUAUUCCGCCCCGGGUUGGCGGAGUGAAGGUGUAUUCGGAUAACGUUCAGCGCUCCGAGAUCAUCAUGGACCUGGAGAUCUUUUAUGCGGGCGAUUCACGCAUCGAGUGCAGCUUCAGUCGCAUGACGGCGGGCAUCAAAGACUUUCAGCUUCACGGCGUAAUGCGUAUCGUGUACAAGCCGCUCAUCAGCUCGAUCCCCAUUAUCGGAGGCAUGCAGCUCUUCUUCCUCAACAACCCGGACAUCGACUUCAACAUGCUCGGCGUGGCUGAUGUGCUCGACAUGCCCGGCCUCAGCGGCAUCCUGCGCAAUGUGAUCGUGGACACGAUAGCCGCCAUGAUGGUGCUGCCCAACAAGUGGCCCAUCAUCCUGUCGGACCAGGUGCCGACCAAGAUGGUGACCGCCUCACAGCCAAAGGGCGUGCUCCGUCUGCGACUCAUCGAGGGCAAGGAUCUGAUGAAGAAGGACCGCAACAUCUUCGGCCAGGGCAAGUCCGACCCCUACGCCAUCAUCUACAUCGGCGCCAAGCAGUUCAAGACCAAGUACAUCCAGGAUACUGUGGAUCCUGUCUGGAACUACGUCUGUGAGUUUGCCCUGCUUGAGUCGGUGGGUCCGCGACUGUGGGUGGAGCUCUCCGAUUCCGAUGAUCCCGGCAACAAAGAUGAUAACCUGGGCAGGUGCGGUCUGGAUGUGGCAGACAUCGCCAAGGCUGGAUCCCAGGACUUGUGGGUUCCCCUGGAGCAGGCCCGCAGUGGCAGGAUCCACCUGAAGCUCGACUGGCUCAGCCUGUCGACAAACGUGGCUGAUAUCAAAAAGCAACUGAACGAGAUCGAGGACCUGUCUGCGUUCGACCACUCCGGCCUGCACUCGGCAGUGCUGACCGUGUUUGUCGACUCGGCCAAAAAACUGCCGAUGGCGUCGCGGGCGGUGGAGCCCGACCCGCUGGUGCGUCUGGUGCUGGGUAACCAGAAGGAGGCCACCUCGUGCAAGUACCGCACCCUGGACCCCGUCUGGGAGGAGGGCUUCAGUUUCCUCGUCAAGAACCCGCUCACGCAGACCAUGACUCUGGAGGUGGAGGACCAGAGCUCUGGUAAGUCGCUGGGCUCGAUGCAGCUGGAGCUGAAGUCGCUGCUCCGAGAGGCGGAUCUGUCUGUGACCGAGCAGCCGCACACCCUGUACAACUCGGGCCCGCAGUCCAAGGUGGUGCUCUCCAUUCAGCUGAGGAUUUUGACCCACGACAAGGUGGCACCCGAGGACCUCGAGGGAAAGAUACCGUCAGCGAUGCCGCUGCGUCCGGUGGCUCCGGCCCCGCCGCCGGCCGCCAAACCAGACACUGACGCGGCCUCCGGUAAGACUGCCGACCCCGCCCAGCCGACUGCCGUGCCUGACCCGACCCCGGCCGUGCCCAAACCGGCCGCCAAGACGGAUGACGUGCCGCCGUCGCCGCCCAGCCCCGUCAAAAAGGAGACCAAGAAGAGGGAGUCCAAGGUGGAGCCCGUGCCGGCUGAGACCCGCGAGGAGGUGGAGACGCUGCUCCAGGACCUGUCCACCGACUCACCGGUCACAGAGACGUCCGGACUGAGGCAGCGCAAACCGGAAAAUCCUGCGGGUGCGGACCGUCUGGGUCGGAUCCAGCUGACCCUGCGGUACAGUACCACCCGCGGACGGCUCGUCAUCACCGUGCACAAAGUGGCGAACCUACCCAUGCAGGGUGACGACAUCCCUGAUCCGUACGUCAAGACGUACUUGCUGCCGGACAAAUCGGAGAGCAACAAACGGAAGACUCAGACAUUCAAGGACAACUGCAAUCCCGUCUACGAUGAAACCCUGGAGUAUGACGGCUCUCUGAACGAGACCCGCAUCCGCACACUGGAGGUGCUCGUCGUCAGCAAGAAGUCGUUCGCGCGAAACCCCGUGCUCGGAAUGAAACACAUUGACCUGCGCGGAGUGAACCUGGAGGUGGGAACCACCGAGUGGUUCGACCUGGAGCCGGAGGAGCGAUUCGACUCUUCGGAAGACCAGACAGAGUACGACCCGUACAGCUCGGUCGGCUCCAAGGGCAGGGCGUCGCCGCCCAGUCCCGUCAGGAAGGACUCGAAGCGGGAGAAGAAGGUGGAGGUGGUCCCCGCACAGGACCGGGAGGAUGUAAACGCUCUCAUCCGAGAGCUGUCCUCCGACCGGCCGACCUCCGAGGCCCCGGCGCCCGCCGAAAAGUCAGCCGGGGCGGACGGCCUGGGUCGCGUGCAGCGACUCUCCGCUACAGCGACACCAGAGAGGCGGUGCUGGUCACCGUACACCGGGCGGCGAACCUGCCUAUGCAGGGUGACGACAUCCCCGAUCCGUACGUCAAGACGUACCUGCUGCCGGAUAGAUCGGAGAAGAACAAACGGAAAACGGAGAAACUGACGGACAACUGUGACCCGGUGUAUGAGGAGACGUUUGAAUACAAAGGUCCGCUAGGCGAGGCCCAGCUCCGCACACUGGAGGUGCUCGUCGUCAGCAAGAAAACGUUCGCCAGGAACCCCGUCAUCGGAAUGAAACACAUUGACCUGCGCGGAGUAAACCUGGAGGCGGGAACCACCGAGUGGUUCGACCUGGAGCCGGAGGAGCGGUUCGACUCCUCGCACCCGAAGCCCGCAGCAGUGCCGGAGCCGAAGCCCGCGGCAGUGCCGGAGCCGAAGCCCAGCUCGGAGAAACAGGAGCCUCCCCAGCCUACAGCGGGGCCAAUUCCGACUGAGACCCCGGCCAGUGACAAGCAGCCCUCUGAUGUGACGUCACCCGGUACCCAGCCGGCUGAAACACCUCAGAAGACCGAGCCAACCAACUCUGCCGGGGCCGAUGGUCUGGGAAGGGUUGAGCUCACCCUUCGCCACAACCGUUCCAAGGAAGCCCUCGAGAUCACCGUCCACAGGGUGGUAAACCUGCCUAUGCAGGGUGACGACAUCCCUGAUCCGUACGUCAAGACGUACUUGCUGCCGGAUAGAUCGGAAAAGAACAAACGGAAGACGAAGAAACUGACGGACAACUGUGACCCGGUGUUUGAGGAGACGUUUGAAUACAAAGGUCCGCUGAGCGAGUCCCAGCUCCGCACACUGGAGGUGCUCGUCGUCAGCAAGAAAACGUUCGCCAGGAACCCCGUCAUCGGAAUGAAACACAUUGACCUGCGCGGAGUGGACCUGGAGGCGGGAACCACCGAGUGGUUCGACCUGGAGCCAGAGGAGCGUUUCGAAUCCUCUCACCCCAAGUACGACCCGUACAGCAGCCCGGCCCCGCCGCCGGCGGCGCCUCCUGUGCCCGAGCCUGAGGUGAAACAGGAGACCCCCUACCCCGCUCCGGCGGGUUCCGGGAAGACGGCGCAGGAGUCGGAGUCGGCAGAGCCCGUGCCGGUGGCUGCGCCACUGGUGGAGCCGCCGCCCGCCGCCAGCACCCAGCCGGCCAAACCGCCGCAGCAUCUGGGUGGAGCUGACAAGCUGGGCAGAAUCCAGCUAACCCUGAAAUACAACCAGGCCCGCUGCGCACUUGCCGUCGUCGUGCAUAAAGUCACGAACCUGCCGAUGCAGGGUGACGACAUCCCCGAUCCGUACGUCAAAACGUACUUGCUGCCGGAUAGGUCGGAGAAGAACAAACGCAAAACUCAGAAAUUCAAGGACAACUGCAAUCCCGUUUAUGAGGAGACCCUGGAGUAUGAGGGGAAGCUGCACGAGCUCCUGCGCACCCUGGAAGUGCAGGUUGUCAGCAAGAAGACGUUCGCCCCCAACCCCAUCCUGGGCAUGAAACAUAUUGACCUGAAGUCCUUCGACCUGGAAAACGGGAUGACUCUCUGGUUUGAUCUGGAGCCCGAAGACAGGUUCGACGAAUCGGAGGCUAAGCCAUCCACUCCGGCUUACGACCCGUACAGUCGUCCCCCGGCGGCCGCCGCUCCGCCACCGGUCGCGGAGCAGCCCAAACAGAAACCAGUGACGCCCCAGGAGAGUGCGGUGCAGAGUUUGAUCCAGGACCUCUUGCCUGAAGACAUUCCCCUGCGUGAGGAUCCCCCGGGACAGGCUGCCGCACCCAGCCAGUCACCGCCGCAUCCGGCCGGCGCGGACCGCCUGGGCAGAAUUGAGCUCACCCUCCGCUACAGUCACAUGAAGGACGCACUAGAGGUCACCGUGCACAGAGUCGCGAAUCUGCCCGUGCAGGGUGAUGACAUCCCUGAUCCGUACGUCAAGACCUACCUGUUGCCGGACAAAUCGGGGAGCAACAAACGGAAAACUGAGAAAUUCAAGGACGAAUGCAAUCCCGUAUACGAAGAGACGUUCGAAUACAAGGGGAAGCAGAGUGAUGUCGGCAGUCGCACUCUUGAGGUUCAGGUGGUCAGCAAGAAAACCUUCGGCUGGAACCCAGUCCUCGGCAUGAAACACAUUGACCUGCGCGGCGUGAACCUGGAGGCGGGAACCACCGAUUGGUUCGACCUGGAGCCAGAGGAGCGAUUCGACUCGUAAGCGACACGCUCUUCUCCGAGCUGCAGCAGUUCUCUAACCACCGACUGAAUUCCCUUAUACACCGCCGCUGGCGGCAGGCGGGGAGAACCGCCUGACCGGCUGAUUAGUGCUUUAUCUGUCCGUCACAAGCGUGUAGGCUGUGAUGGGGACUGAGGAGUCAGGUCCCUCACUAUCUUGCUUGGACGUUGGUUUUUUAACUCUGCUGUUUUUCUCCUGGUUGGCUUGUGUGCGCGCGAUGUGACUUUUGUUGGUUCUGUUGUCAGAGUAUGUCAAAGGUCGCUGAAACAGAGGUCGAUCUGUUUUGCUUUCUUUGCUUGGAAUGUAAAGGUGCUGAGCAGCAGCCCAUAUUCACCCCCUCAGGGCCCCAGCGCCCCUGUUUUUUUUCAUGGUGGCAGUUUUCUGAAUACGAUUGACACACAUCAGGGUGAUAAUUCUGGCUGUCUGUGGAUACCGAGUCACUGGUUGUUACUUAAUAAUGCUGUCUGUGAUCCUGGUUGUUGCAAGCGAUGUUACGAAGCAAUAUAAUGUGCUUGGACAGUUAACCGAUGCAUCAUACACAUGCAAUGCAUUCUGUUGGUUAUUGCCAUUGGUGCGACCCUGGGAUGUUUGCUCCUCUUACGAUGAUGGACUUAGUCUCACUUCUCUUGAAUCUACUUACCUUACCAGUGACAGAAUGGCAUUCGCGUUGCCAUAGUUAUGGUCUAUGCUAGUCCGAGAUGGAGCGGCACGUCGUUGCUACCGCUCUUCCGUGUGGUGCGUUCAGACUGAAUGGUGGACAGAUCUGUAUGAAAGAGGCCAACCAGACCCUGUGCUUGGGUUUGCUAUCUGUUAACUAAUAGACUUGUAAUGCUCCUUGCUUUGUCAUAAUAUAUUUAGCCUUGUCAA